UACGGAGGGUGCGAGCGUUGUCCGGAAUCAUUGGGCGUAAAGGGCGCGUAGGUGGCUUCUUAAGCGUGCGGUGAAAGCCUGGGGCUCAACCCCGGGUCGGCCGUGCGAACCGGGGGGCUGGAGCACUGUAGAGGCAGGCGGAAUUCCGGGUGUAGCGGUGGAAUGCGUAGAGAUCCGGAAGAACACCGGGUGGCGAAGGGCG
RNAcentral lists this ribosomal RNA (202 nucleotides) under uncultured bacterium. RNAcentral describes it as "partial 16S ribosomal RNA". It matches the Rfam family "Bacterial small subunit ribosomal RNA", at positions 524 to 724 of the family's 1533-position model. The record is from RNAcentral.